UGGAUGCAGGAACCACCAGAUGGUUCUGCAGUAUUCAGAGUGGAGCCAUCGGGGGCCUGUGUAGCCACUUACCGGCAGGGGGAGAAGGUAAAUCAUUCUGGCAGAAAGAGCUGCUCUGCCGCCUGUUCCCCCUGCUGCUGCCAGCUGUUGCGCCUAUCACAUUGUGACAGGCAACGGCGCCGGCAGCUUUAAGCGUCCUCUUCCCCUCCCUAACUGUGUGACAGCGCUCAGUGUUUACUCACUGUGCAGGAAGACCGAAAAGGGGGCAGAGUUACACGGAACAGAGGGGCGGCGGUACAAGGGACCAGGCUGAUCAUGAGGAGGAACAGGAGGAUGGACAGCUCUGGCCAGCCAGACUUCCUUUUGACAUUCUUUAUCAUGGGGCACAUUAUAAACUACAAGCACAACAGGUUGCCAGAUGGAAGCAUCCCCGCAGGAUUGUACUGUGCCUGCUCCAGCCUUACACUUACCUUUCAAGAAAUGAUGUAUCAUCUGAUCACAUGGAAGUCACACUGUGUUUGUCAGAUUUAUUUGCUUAUAUUGUAUCACAUAUUUACCUUAUAUCUACAGUAAAUGUCUGCUGAUGUUUGUUACAUGACUACAUUUAUUUAUUUCAUUAAAUGUUUAUAUUUUUUAAACGUAUAUUAAUGGGUUAUAGGGCUGCAUGUGAUGUCCUUAAAGUGUAUCAGGUUGCACAAAACACACCCAGUGCAUACAGUUCUUAGUAUUCUGACAUUAUACCCAGUGUUGCAAGUAUGCGAUUACGCUCAGGUACGGCAUACCCUUAAGAAUUUGGCAGGAGGUACGCAGUACCACCCGCCACACACUUUGCACCCAUGACCGCCAUUACCACAAUUAUAAUGCGCCAUGAGCAACAAGACCAUGGUGCUUGGCAGCAUGACGGAGUCUCCCACUUUGUCAGGGUUACAUCACACUUCCUCCUCUGGCGGCUGUGGCUGGCACCAAGAGAGGAGCCUGGGUGCACUUAGCCAUGGUGUCCCUUGCUGAUAGCAGCAGUGCAGCUGUUUCCCUUUACUCACCUCGAAUGAUGCAUCGGUACUGAGCGGCUUUUGUUCUUCAAAGGCUUGGCAUGUCUCUGGCCUCACUGUGUGGGAUGAUUAAUUUCUAAUGUAAUGUGAACACUACUAUAUAUUUCUAUUAUUAUGGGGGUAUUAGUAUACAUUUCUAUUGUAAUGUGGACACUACUAUAUAUUUCAGGGGCACUACAGUAUAUAUUCCUAUAAUAUAGUAUAUAUUCCUGUUAUAAUGGAGACAUUACUAUAUCUUGUUAUUAAUUUGGGGGCAUUACUAUAUAUAUUUAUUAUACUGGAGGCAUUACUAUAUAUUGCUGGCCUUGCCUCCAGAGUGCAAAUAAAAAAGGCUGGGACACUGCUAGUGUCAUGUAACCACUCCCCGUAGUGUUAUAUUACCACACCUCCUCACAACACAUGACCACUCCCCUUUUUCGGCAGGGAGUACCACUAAGAAAAUAUUUCUGCUUGCACCAGUGAUUAUACCACAAUGGUCCUAAUAACCCCUGUAGUGGCACACACCUAGUUACGGCCCUGGUGGUGCACCCCUGCUCCCCUCUCUUUGGGGCUACCUCCGCAAAGUAAAAAGUAAAAUGGAAAUUUUAAUAGGCGGCGCACUGUGCAAAAGUUUAAGCUUCCUAUCAAAGUUUAUCUUUUGCUACUGUAGUCCCACCUCUGUCAGUGAAAUAAAUUGUUCACAUUUUCUCAUAAAAACCUGCUCAGUUUAGACUCAUCCAUGACUUAUAGUCAGCAAAAGAGUGUGGGGAUAUUGAGAAUGGGACUAAUUCAGAUGUGGUUGGAGUAACUAUCGCUGCUGCUGACAUAAAAACACAAUUGACCAAGCACUUAAUCAAGUUAAUUCCUGGUGCAGCUGAUAACUCAAUGGUUACUCAUCCCUUAAAGGGUAUACCACCAAAACAUAAAGGUAUCAACAUGGGGGGUAAUUCCAAGUUGAUCGCAGCAGGAAUUCUGUUAGCAACUGGGCAAAACCAUGUGCACUGCAGGGGAGGCAGAUUUUACAUGUGCAGAGAGAGUUAGAUUUGGGUGUGG
Long non-coding RNA from Pseudophryne corroboree (corroboree frog), 2081 nucleotides. RefSeq lists it as uncharacterized. The record is from RefSeq and is a predicted model, not a curated record. The transcript has 3 exons. NCBI's taxonomy places the organism in Eukaryota, Metazoa, Chordata, Amphibia, Anura, Myobatrachidae.